This 257-nucleotide long non-coding RNA is filed under the name Elaeis guineensis (African oil palm). Its description in RNAcentral is "long non-coding RNA (EGUI_LNC035363)". Lineage: Eukaryota; Viridiplantae; Streptophyta; Magnoliopsida; Arecales; Arecaceae. The record is from RNAcentral.
AUGUACUUGUAGCCAGUAGAAAUUUAAUUUCUAUCUCUGUGCUGGUACAAGAUAACUAUAAUUUUUAUUUCAAUAAAGAUAUGUGUUCAAUUUAUUUCAAACAUAAAAUUAUUGCAUGUACUUUUUUGAUUGAUGAUCUUUACCAUUUGCAUAUAGAUGCGAGUGUAAAUAUUAAUGAGCAAAUAGUGAAUGCCAUAGGGUCUAAGAGAUCUAAAGAUAGAAUUAGCCAAAAGUAUCUAUGGCACCUUAGACUAGGC